Non-coding RNA from Caenorhabditis elegans, 124 nucleotides. The record is from Ensembl. NCBI's taxonomy places the organism in Eukaryota, Metazoa, Nematoda, Chromadorea, Rhabditida, Rhabditidae.
UGGAAAGAUAAAAUUGCGGGCGGUACGACAGGAUCAAACGGGCCGACAGUAUUUCUGGUUGCGCCACCCACGACUUUUAUGGGUGGUCUCGAGAAGAAAACGGUGUGCAAAAUUUAUGAGCAUU